This 87-nucleotide transfer RNA is filed under the name Mesoflavibacter zeaxanthinifaciens. It matches the Rfam family "tRNA". From Rfam's summary of the family: Transfer RNA (tRNA) molecules are approximately 80 nucleotides in length. The record is from RNAcentral. RNAcentral also lists the same sequence under 1 other name. Lineage: Bacteria; Pseudomonadati; Bacteroidota; Flavobacteriia; Flavobacteriales; Flavobacteriaceae.
GGAGGGGUGGCUGAGAGGUUUAAGGCACCGGUUUGCUAAAUCUGCGUGUAUUGUUUUAUACCGUAGGUUCGAAUCCUAUCCCUUCCA